AAGGCAUCUCAACAGAUAGCUGGUAAGUAAACGUUUUCUAUAAACGAUCGCAACUAUCUCCGAAUGUAGGUCCUGAUUUAAAUAGAAGGUGGUCUGUAACAGAGGCUCAUUUUUUUUUCUCUGCCACACACUGCUGCGCAGUGAUACAUUCCCCCGUGCGGGCGGUAUAGAUACUUCUGCUGGAUAUAACUUGCACGAGAAAAGUUUUUUUUUGUUAUUCACUUGUGUGAAAUUUAACGUAACAUUUAUGGCGUGAUAAAAUAACAACACAUUAAAUAAAUGUAACCGUUAUGUUUUAACGGCAUAGUGAUAUCUGAAACGGUACGAUUUGCUGGUAUUAAUUCGCUGCGGUCCGGCGAAAAUUGAGAGGGAAGAAGAAAUGGCGGCUCAACCGAAAAGCGCGCGUGUUUCGGCCGCGCAGGCCACUAUGUUGGUUCAAUUCAUAGAGCAGCAUCCAUACUUGGCGAGAGGCGCCACAAGCCUCUCGCCAAGUAUGAGUGCUCCUCAGAAAAAAGCACUGUGGGAGGAGGUUGCCGCGGCGCUAAACGCGAUCGGACCGGCAGUCAAAGCAGUCCGGCGCUGGCGCCUCUAAUGGGCCCGGCUGUGCUAUGACUGCCGUAAGAUCGCGACGCAGGUGGGCGCCGAGAAGAGGUGAGCCCGCGGCUAGCAACAUCUUCGGAACGUAUAAGCUCACGGUGUUCAUGCAUUUGCAGGAAGACGGGAGGCCGGAAGCUGGGCGGCCUGGAGGGCCGCGUGCUCACCGUGCUUGGCCGAACCGGCCCAGCUUCCGCUCCUGUGGAGUUUUUCGGCGACGACUCCGAGCAGGACACCUCCAGUGAGGAGGAGCCUGCACCUCUGCCCCCUGCCCCACCAGCAGCUGCCCACGUUUCCGUCGGGACGGAGCCGGGGACAAGUGGCACUGCACGACCAUCAGCUCGGCAGCAGCCCCGCAGGCCACCCCGCCAACAGCUGCUGGAGGACGCGGCCUGCAGUGCAGCCGCCGAGUAUGCGUGGCAGGGGCAGCUAGCUGAGGCGGCAAAUGCAGAGGCCGCCAACUUCCACCAGCUGUUGCUGCAGCAAAAUAGGCAGCAUCACCAGCAGCUGGUGGAAGAGCAGAGGGCGACCCGGCAGGUCCUGCAGCAGCUGACAGCUGAGAUGCGUGGUUCGCG
This 1169-nucleotide long non-coding RNA is filed under the name Dermacentor andersoni. Its description in RNAcentral is "uncharacterized LOC126530140". Lineage: Eukaryota; Metazoa; Arthropoda; Arachnida; Ixodida; Ixodidae. The record is from RNAcentral.